UAGAUCUGCGACAUAGUGAACAGCUGUAGAGAGUUUGUGUUCUUCCUAUAAACUCAGUGCUCAAAAUUUUCAGCUUUGAAAAAUGGCAAAUCAAAUCAUAGGUCACGUUAAUUGUCCCAUCGAUAAUGGUAAUGUUCACGACAUGGCGGCAAACCACGAGGCCGCCUUAAAUUUAUUCACCAAUCAGUGCCCCGUCGGAGCACGUGUGGCGGAAGUGACUGGUAUAAGAGGAAAACCAAAAAAUAAAUGUACCUGGCGAGUUCUCUAUAUACUAUAUGACUUUGAUCCUCAAUUUGGAAACAUCGACCACACACAAAGAUCUCGUGAUUUUUAUAGUAGGAAGCCUAAUAAUACGAGAAUUCUAAUGCAAGCUUGGGAACCUUUUCCCCCCACUGUAGAAAUUGUAUAUUUGAUUCUUCAAUGCAUGUGUGACGUACCGCCAAGUGUUGAAACAAUUAACACAGAUUUCCUUAAUUUAAAGGUGGAGUAGAAUAUCCAAGAAUUAUUGUUAUUUUUUUAUUCCACCUUUAGUGUGAGGGUCAAUCUAGAUACAAUUAGUGUUGAAAAAUAAUAAUAAUAAUAAUAGGUAAAUUAUGGAUAUAAGAAGGAACUACUUAUAUUAGUUAAAGAUAUAUAAUUACAUUUGUCGCAUUAUUAGAUAUACCUACAUCUGGUCAUCAUGCAUCAUCAAACUGCAUAUAGGUAGAUAGGAUCGAAUCUGUCCAGAAUAUCAAAUUCAUAAUGCGCUUGCUUCCUUUGCGUGUUAGAAAUUCUCCGGAACUGUACAAAAGUUAGGAUUAAAUAAUUUAUGUGAUCGUAGAAUUUUUUUUUAAAUUUGUUUCAUACUGUCAGCGUGCAAUCUAGUCUCAGAUAAGGUAAAUUUUUUUAAUGACAAUUAUGGUAAUCUUAAGGCUACUCUUCGUUGCAUUUUGUACCUACAAUUAAUUUUAUGCGUCUGUAUGUAAAGGCUACUUUUUUGCCGUAAAUAAAUUAAUUAUUUUUAA
Long non-coding RNA from Zophobas morio, 1004 nucleotides. RefSeq lists it as uncharacterized. The transcript has 2 exons. The record is from RefSeq and is a predicted model, not a curated record. Lineage: Eukaryota; Metazoa; Arthropoda; Insecta; Coleoptera; Tenebrionidae.